RNAcentral lists this ribosomal RNA (448 nucleotides) under Escherichia coli. Its description in RNAcentral is "bacterial SSU rRNA". It matches the Rfam family "Bacterial small subunit ribosomal RNA", at positions 1050 to 1498 of the family's 1533-position model. The record is from RNAcentral. Lineage: Bacteria; Pseudomonadati; Pseudomonadota; Gammaproteobacteria; Enterobacterales; Enterobacteriaceae.
UGUCGUCAGCUCGUGUUGUGAAAUGUUGGGUUAAGUCCCGCAACGAGCGCAACCCUUAUCCUUUGUUGCCAGCGGUCCGGCCGGGAACUCAAAGGAGACUGCCAGUGAUAAACUGGAGGAAGGUGGGGAUGACGUCAAGUCAUCAUGGCCCUUACGACCAGGGCUACACACGUGCUACAAUGGCGCAUACAAAGAGAAGCGACCUCGCGAGAGCAAGCGGACCUCAUAAAGUGCGUCGUAGUCCGGAUUGGAGUCUGCAACUCGACUCCAUGAAGUCGGAAUCGCUAGUAAUCGUGGAUCAGAAUGCCACGGUGAAUACGUUCCCGGGCCUUGUACACACCGCCCGUCACACCAUGGGAGUGGGUUGCAAAAGAAGUAGGUAGCUUAACCUUCGGGAGGGCGCUUACCACUUUGUGAUUCAUGACUGGGGUGAAGUCGUAACAAGGUA